RNAcentral lists this unclassified non-coding RNA (214 nucleotides) under Hevea brasiliensis (rubber tree). The record is from RNAcentral. Lineage: Eukaryota; Viridiplantae; Streptophyta; Magnoliopsida; Malpighiales; Euphorbiaceae.
GUGGGUUUGAAUGGGCAGAUCUAUAUGGAGAGUGGAAAAUGCAAUGUGAAAGUGGAGUAAAGGGCAAUUUAGAUAGGAAAAUGGGGAAGGGAUUAGAUGGGAGAAUGGGGCAAAGUAACUUGAAGAGAGAGAGAUUUUAGGAAAGUUUCUGUUUUUGCAAGGAAGUGAGUGAGUGUGAUUUCAGAGAAAGGGCAAGCAGAAGAAGGAACAUGGG